GGAACUUUUCGGACGGGCGGGCCCGGG
RNAcentral lists this small RNA (27 nucleotides) under Bombyx mori (domestic silkworm). Its description in RNAcentral is "ovarian small RNA-17204". The record is from RNAcentral. Lineage: Eukaryota; Metazoa; Arthropoda; Insecta; Lepidoptera; Bombycidae.